GAGUCCUUUUUGUAUCUGAUUUUUGAGAAAAGUACAAAUGUUGAUUCCACAUAGUUGUUAAUCAUGAUGUCAUCACAGUGGGAAUUCAAAAUUAAUGAUUUUUGAUUUUCUUAGCCAUGGAAUAAUAAUUAAAAUAGGAAACACUAUUUGUGACACCUGAUUCCAUAUCAAAAUUCUUUUAAUUUUCUUAUAUUACCAGUAUAGAUGCAUUUUUUAAAAUCCAAUCACAACCCACAUACUUGAAAAUACAUAUUAAAAGUGCUCUUCAUUAGCUAAUUUUUACCACAUCAAAUAUGAAGACCUCAAGGAUCUAUUUUAGUUAAUUUUGCAUAAGAUGAACAAUUUCAAACAUAAUUUUUAAUCAAAUGAAUAUUUCUUAUCAGCAAAAAUGUAUCGGAUGUAAUGAUUUAGCACGGGUCUUUUAACCAAAAGUCUGUAUAGCUUACCUGAUCACCAUUUUUCUGUAAUCAUAAUGUCUGUUAUACUUGUUGUCUACAUAAUUUGGUAACUUGUGAACUUGAUUGAAAAUUGAAUUAUUGACACCUCUGCAGGUAUCGAGAUCAUUGCGAUCACCACAAAUUGAUAGUUGGUAGUUCAGCUUCAUUGAAUGAAAUAAAUUUACUUAAAUUUCAGUAUACAAGGAAUCUAUUCACUGAAAUUCCAAGAAGAUUCCAUGACUUGCUUGCCAUACAACAAACAACAGAUUAUGGACAUGAUUCCUAGAAUUAGAACUUGAAUGGGUCAGACUUGGAUACAUGCAAAAUCAUGUAACAAUAUUAAAGGUGUUGUACUUCAGGAAAAGGGGAAGCAUAUUUGUUGGAAGAUUGAUAAAGAAAUAUUGGAGCAUGCACUAGACUUCUUUAAAUCCUGCUUUUUUAUCAGGUAACAUCAUUGAGUACAAAAGAAAUGCACCUUCACAGUAGACAACUUAUAACCUUUCGACAAAAAAUUGGGACUGCCUGCCAUUCAACCAUUGUACAUAUAUGAAUUUACCAGUCCUGUUGUGAAGAAACUUAUUUCAUCCUCUUUCAAGGGCCAUGUUAUUUAGGAUUUUAACUACUUGUCCUGCAUCACAAGCUUAAAAAGACUUCACAAUCUGGCUGCAGAUGGAGCUGCAUGGUUUGAAAUCCUCAUAGGAAUUCUGAGAAGCAUGGAGGCCUAUAAACCAGAUAAUGACAAGAUUUCAUAGUUCGAGGAGUACCAGGAAAAUUUACUUGCAGCAAAAUUGUACAUUAAGAGAGACUCACUCAAGCAUGAAUGUAGAAUAAUUAUAAAGAUGCAGAAUAUAUAUAUGGAGAGAGAGAGAGAGAGAGAGAGAGAGAGAGAGAGAGAGAGAGAAUUGUAUGGUGAUAUAAUUAAACUCAUUGUCUUCAAUGGGUAUGGCAUGUCAGUAGAGAAUCAUGAUUCAUAUGGUGAUAUUUUUCAAUUAUAUACUCGUUUCAGUGCAAUGGCAUU
This is a long non-coding RNA of Ostrea edulis (European flat oyster), 1455 nucleotides long. RefSeq lists it as uncharacterized. The record is from RefSeq and is a predicted model, not a curated record. The transcript is spliced from 3 exons. NCBI's taxonomy places the organism in Eukaryota, Metazoa, Mollusca, Bivalvia, Ostreida, Ostreidae.